Molecule: ribosomal RNA, 253 nt
Filed under: uncultured bacterium
Lineage: Bacteria
Description: partial 16S ribosomal RNA
Rfam family: Bacterial small subunit ribosomal RNA
Source: RNAcentral
CACGUAGGGCGCGAGCGUUGUCCGGAAUUAUUGGGCGUAAAGAGCUCGUAGGCGGCCUGUUGCGUCCGCUGUGAAAGCCCGGGGCUUAACCCCGGGUCGGCAGUGGAUACGGGCAGGCUAGAGGUAGGUAGGGGAGAAUGGAAUUCCCGGUGUAGCGGUGAAAUGCGCAGAUAUCGGGAGGAACACCUGUGGCGAAAGCGGCGCACUGGACCAUAACUGACGCUGAUGCGCGAAAGCUAGGGGAGCAAACAGG